CUUCCAUUUAUGAUAAGUAU
This 20-nucleotide microRNA is filed under the name Oryza sativa (Asian cultivated rice). Its description in RNAcentral is "osa-miR2095-3p". The record is from miRBase by way of RNAcentral. Lineage: Eukaryota; Viridiplantae; Streptophyta; Magnoliopsida; Poales; Poaceae.